This 384-nucleotide ribosomal RNA is filed under the name actinobacterium BAL187. Its description in RNAcentral is "bacterial SSU rRNA". It matches the Rfam family "Bacterial small subunit ribosomal RNA", at positions 61 to 448 of the family's 1533-position model. Lineage: Bacteria; Bacillati; Actinomycetota; Actinomycetes. The record is from RNAcentral.
GUCGAACGGAAAGGCCCUUCGGGGUACUCGAGUGSCGAACGGGUGAGUAACACGUGGGUGAUCUGCCCUGCACUUUGGGAUAAGCCUGGGAAACUGGGUCUAAUACCGAAUACACCUUGCUGGAUGCAUGUCUGGUGGGGGAAAGCUUUUGCGGUGUGGGAUGGGCCCGCGGCCUAUCAGCUUGUUGGUGAGGUUACGGCUCACCAAGGCGACGACGGGUAGCCGGCCUGAGAGGGUGUCCGGCCACACUGGGACUGAGAUACGGCCCAGACUCCUACGGGAGGCAGCAGUGGGGAAUAUUGCACAAUGGGCGCAAGCCUGAUGCAGCGACGCCGCGUGAGGGAUGACGGCCUUCGGGUUGUAAACCUCUUUCGCCAGGGACGA